AGACGGCCAGCCGGGCCGCGCCAGGGACAUACUGGAGACAGGAAGUGGCUGAGAGGGGGAGAGAGUUGGAGAGAGACGGCCGCGGAGGACACGGGGACGGGAAAGUCUGAGAGACGGGGAGAGCCUGACCCGGCGGGACACAGGCAGAAAGAAACACGCGAGCCAGACAGACGCAGAAGAAACGUGCCUGGUACUGGAUAGGAACUUCAUGGAAUGGAGCUAAUGGGCCGUAGGGCAGGUUUGAGUCGUGCCACCCUGGAGCAGAAGGUGGAGGGUAGGGAUAAGGGUGGAGAGAAACUAGGAGAAAAGCACAGGAUGUAGAGGUCUAUUCGGCAUAAUCUUCUCCCUCAUUUUCAUCUUCACCAUCAACAGAGAGAGCAGCAUACUUGCUUGCAGAACUGAACUUCUGUAACACAACGAGAGUGACAGGAUAAUGAAGGCCCUGAAUUAUCACAUCAAAACCCAAGACACAGGAUACUGAUCCUUUGGCAAUGGGGGAUGACAGUCAGAUGACACCCACUUGCUUGCUCAUCAGCAUUGUCCAUUGGAGAGGAGCUAGGGAAGAGGGUCAGAGGCACAUGCGAUCUUACUAUAGUCUCAUACCACCUCUACACCUUGCAGAAGGGAUGAGAACAAAGGAAGACAGAAACCAGGAAAAAGCUAAACUUCUUUCGCUAUUUCAGUAAAGACCAAUGUCUUAUUUCCAAACACUUUGUAUUCCAAAUGGA
RNAcentral lists this long non-coding RNA (728 nucleotides) under Homo sapiens (human). RNAcentral describes it as "HSALNT0368322". The record is from RNAcentral. Lineage: Eukaryota; Metazoa; Chordata; Mammalia; Primates; Hominidae.